CGCACAAGCGGCGGAGCAUGCGGAUUAAUUCGAUGCAACGCGAAGAACCUUACCAAGGCUUGACAUGAACCGGAAAGACCUGGAAACAGGUGCCCCGCUUGCGGUCGGUUUACAGGUGGUGCAUGGUUGUCGUCAGCUCGUGUCGUGAGAUGUUGGGUUAAGUCCCGCAACGAGCGCAACCCUCGUUCUAUGUUGCCAGCGCGUUAUGGCGGGGACUCAUAGGAGACUGCCGGGGUCAACUCGGAGGAAGGUGGGGACGACGUCAAAUCAUCAUGCCCCUUAUGUCUUGGGCUUCACGCAUGCUACAAUGGCCGGUACAAAGGGUUGCGAUACUGUGAGGUGGAGCUAAUCCCAAAAAGCCGGUCUCAGUUCGGAUUGGGGUCUGCAACUCGACCCCAUGAAGUCGGAGUCGCUAGUAAUCGCAGAUCAGCAACGCUGCGGUGAAUACGUUCCCGGGCCUUGUACACACCGCCCGUCAAGUCACGAAAGUUGGUAACACCCGAAGCCGGUGGCCUAACCCUUGUGGGGGGAGCCGUCGAAGGUGGGACCGGCGAUUGGGACUAAGUCGUAACAAGGUAGCCGUACCGGAAGGUGCGGCU
RNAcentral lists this ribosomal RNA (599 nucleotides) under bacterium TN136C. Its description in RNAcentral is "bacterial SSU rRNA". It matches the Rfam family "Bacterial small subunit ribosomal RNA", at positions 922 to 1519 of the family's 1533-position model. The record is from RNAcentral.